AAUAGAUACCCGGGUAGUCCACGCCGUAAACGAUGAGUGCUAAGUGUUAGGGGGUUUCCGCCCCUUAGUGCUGCAGCUAACGCAUUAAGCACUCCGCCUGGGGAGUACGGUCGCAAGACUGAAACUCAAAGGAAUUGACGGGGGCCCGCACAAGCGGUGGAGCAUGUGGUUUAAUUCGAAGCAACGCGAAGAACCUUACCAGGUCUUGACAUCCCAUUGACCACUAUGGAGACAUAGUUUUCCCUUCGGGGACAACGGUGACAGGUGGUGCAUGGUUGUCGUCAGCUCGUGUCGUGAGAUGUUGGGUUAAGUCCCGCAACGAGCGCAACCCUUGUUCUUAGUUGCCAUCAUUUAGUUGGGCACUCUAAGGAGACUGCCGGUGACAAACCGGAGGAAGGUGGGGAUGACGUCAAAUCAUCAUGCCCCUUAUGACCUGGGCUACACACGUGCUACAAUGGACGGUACAAACGGUUGCCAACCCGCGAGGGGGAGCUAAUCCGAUAAAACCGUUCCCAGUUCGGAUUGUAGGCUGCAACUCGCCUACAUGAAGCCGG
This 554-nucleotide ribosomal RNA is filed under the name uncultured bacterium. RNAcentral's name for it is "bacterial SSU rRNA". It matches the Rfam family "Bacterial small subunit ribosomal RNA", at positions 777 to 1329 of the family's 1533-position model. The record is from RNAcentral.